Molecule: long non-coding RNA, 1087 nt
Filed under: Marmota monax (woodchuck)
Lineage: Eukaryota; Metazoa; Chordata; Mammalia; Rodentia; Sciuridae
Source: RNAcentral
GUGGCUAGAUCAUAUGUGGGGUGAGAUUUGCUGUUACUUGGCUGUUAUAAAUAUUCUCAGCCUGAUUUUUACUCUGUAAACUUGAAGUGCCCUUAUCACUUUCCAAACCCCUUUAGAGGAAUGGGGGAGCCAAGAAUAGUACCAAUGUUAGCAACAUAUGUACAGACUUAAGAUAAAUGGCCUGUCUACUUUGAUAUCUGUAACACUAAUUGCCACCUGUAAAGGAAUAGUAGGGUCAGCAUUUAACAUCAGCACCACCAACAAAAAAAAUGUAGACUAGAUCAGGCAUUAAAUAGCAGGUAUCUAUUGUGUCAUCCACUGUAUUAAUAAUCAGAGCAACAAGAGUAGUGUAGGAAUUAGAUAAACUAUAUAAUUCUCAGUGGGAGUUCAGUUUCUUAAGAAAAAUAGGGUAACAAGGCAAGAGAAUAUUGAAAUACUGAAAUAUUUAAAUAACAAGGCAGAAGAUAGGUAGCAGAUGACAGCUGUAAAGGAGGAGAAUAACUAAAAGUAAUAAAAAAUGAAUGAGAGGAAGAGGGAACAGGAAAAAUUGACUAUUAGUUGGGGAAGAGAGUGAAGGAGCAAUAAGAGGGACAAAAACCAAAGGACAAACAAAUAUAAGAUCAAAAGACAAUUCAAACCUAUGUAUAAUUAUACCUCAGCUAAGUCAAACCAAGGCUAAAUAAUAAAUGAAGAAGAAAGCAAUGAAAUGAAAGUAAGAUUAUAUGUAUAUUUAUAUAAAUAUAUAUGCACACACACACACAUAUAUAUAUAUAUAUAUAUAUUUAAACCUAUUUGCAAGUGAGAACACCCACAUUCACAAACCCACAUACACACCAUCUUGCAGUAUAGAAAAAAAGUAAAAAAAUGAUAAUGAAACAUUUGAAAAAAUUUAAAAAUUAAAUGUAAAAUAUUAGGGAGGGGAAAUAUGGAAAAAAGGACAUGAAGAAAAAAUUCUUAAUGAGAGAUAAAGGGCUUUUUUUUCACAUAGGAGAUCAAAAUUAUUGGCAAGGAGGGAUUUUCAUUCUUUUUAUUUUUGGGCUCUGUAACCGAGUAAACAGCUGGGGUUUGUUAAGUCCAAUGUCUUUGU